GGCGAACGCUGGCGGCGUGCUUAACACAUGCAAGUCGAACGGUGAAGCGCCUUCCUUUUUGGUGGGUGUGGAUGAGUGGCGAACGGGUGAGUAACACGUGAGUAACCUGCCCCCUUCUUCUGGAUAACCGCAUGAAAGUGUGGCUAAUACGGGAUAUUCUGGGUCUGUCGCAUGAUGGGUCUGGGAAAGAUAUUGUUUCGGUGGGGGAUGGGCUCGCGGCCUAUCAGCUUGUUGGUGGGGUGAUGGCCUACCAAGGCGGUGACGGGUAGCCGGCCUGAGAGGGUGGACGGUCACACUGGGACUGAGACACGGCCCAGACUCCUACGGGAGGCAGCAGUGGGGAAUAUUGCACAAUGGGCGCAAGCCUGAUGCAGCGACGCCGCGUGAGGGAUGGAGGCCUUCGGGUUGUGAACCUCUUUCGCCAGUGAAGCAGGCCUGCCUCGUCUGUGGGUGGGUUGACGGUAGCUGGAUAAGAAGCGCCGGCUAACUACGU
Molecule: ribosomal RNA, 493 nt
Filed under: uncultured bacterium
Lineage: Bacteria
Description: partial 16S ribosomal RNA
Rfam family: Bacterial small subunit ribosomal RNA
Source: RNAcentral